Cygnus olor (mute swan) is the source of this 3377-nucleotide long non-coding RNA. RefSeq lists it as uncharacterized. The transcript has 4 exons. Lineage: Eukaryota; Metazoa; Chordata; Aves; Anseriformes; Anatidae. The record is from RefSeq and is a predicted model, not a curated record.
AGGCUCCCUCCGAGGAGCCCGAACCCCGUGUGGGCUCUAGCACACACCGCCGGGACAGGGCAGGCCGGCGGCCCCGCCGCAUUUUGAGAGCUCGAAAACCUCCCCCGGCAACAAGUGACCCCCCCCGGGGCUUGGGGGGCUGCUGGGGGCGGCCGUUACGGUUACAUAACGGCCACCGGCUAACCUUCGGGGGGAAAAAGGGUUGGGGGAACGGCGCCGUGAAGAAAAGGAAUUUCAAGAGACAUAGAGCGUGGUACACUACAGUGAACAGUGCCCCAGUUACUAUCCUGUGCUAUGAACCUGUCCCUUCACCAAGCAACCAGGUAAAGCCUCAGUCUAAAACCCCUUGAUUUCUCAGCCUAACAUAUGCUGGAUGGCAGAUCGUGUCAGAAGAAGCCUGUAGCCCAUCUGUUGCCAGAUAGCUGAGUCUUUACAUUCUGCCAACGCAGCUUCAGCUGACGGAUCAUGGUACUCAUUGAACAUCUGGUCAUACAAUGACAUUUUCCUCUUCUUUGCUUGCUUUCCUGCGAGGAAGAGGAGGAGACUCCGUGCGUGAGUACUCCCCUCCCUAAGAGCCAUAUGGGAAUGUAAAGGCAUUCUCUGAAUUCAUUACUCUGCCCCACAAUAUGAUUCUGCCUUUAUACGAGCAAGAAAAUGGAUGUUAAUUUAUUCCUUAUUGCUAAUUUGAAAAGGAGCACAAACACAAGAGUUCCAUUGCAGAGACUUCUACCAAGGGUGUAGUUUAAGUCCAAUUAUAUGCUAUUAGUACAUUUGCUCUUUGUUCCUCUGGCAUAUUAAUUACAUGUCUGGUAUUCUGGUAAUUAACACAAUUAUACUCUUUAUUUUCCUCUUUCGUUAGACAAAAUUCUUCCACUUUAUUAAGAUAAGUAAUUUUCAUAGGUAAAAGAAGCCAAAUUAUUACAUAUUAAUAAAACCAAGCUAUAGGUUUUUAAGUGAGCUUACAGAGAGAAGGUCCAGCAGUAUUCUUCACCAAAAUGAAAAGCAGAUGCUCUCCUGUUGGGCUGCAGCCCAUCUCAGAGGCUUCUAAAGGGAAACCAAAUUACAAGCCUCCAGUUAUGUGUGCAGCAUCGUAACCAGCGGCUGAAGCAGCAGGGCCACAAGGACAGGACCAGCACUUCCACACACAGCUCUUCCAGCAACGUUAUUGCUGUUCAAAGGCUCACUGUUAGCAAGACCUUUCAUCUCCAUUUUAUAUUCACUAAACCCGAUGACGUUUUGAGAAAAAAAAAGAAAAGAGGAACAACAAAGGCUCAACCAAAAUGGUUUACAAUUGCACAGAUCGCCCACAAAUGAACAUUCAUCAGGGAGGAUAUUCCUGAAAAACAUUAAGGAACAACAAAAAAAAUGCACACUUACUAUUGUAAGACAAUAAGGUGGGUAGCUUUUUUUGACUAAAUUAAGUAGGCGUAGAGGUACCACACAAACAUGUUAAAGAUACUUUUUCCCCUUAGGACAAAUUAUUGUUCCUCUGAAAAUAAGUUACUGUUUCUCUCUAGUUUUCUAUAAAAACACAUCUGAAUUUCCACUAGGUCACAGAUGCUGCUAUGGGCAAAAAAGCCCCACUGUGGAAAGAUUUAUUUUUCCUUCUGUAUGUGGUUGUCUGGGGAAGGAGGAAAAGGACAAACAAAAUACUGUCUUCCCACAACAGGGCAGAAACUUCACAGUAUGUUGUCUAGCACCCUCCCUCCUCCCCAAAUCCCUUGGGUCCAGAUCUCUGGUGGGUCUGGCUGCAAUAUGUUUCUGGGUGCAGGAAACAGAGGUGUCCCACGCCAGAAUGAAUGUCACUCACUCCUUCUCAGAGACAGCAGUGGGCAUUCGUUAUUUUCUGCUACCUGGGACAAGUGUUACCCAUAAGAAAACCUGAAGUUUAUGAUUGCAAAUUGCUUUUAACUGUGUCUGCUUCCAUUACUGUUUUUAUUUUAUUUUUCCCUAUUGUACUGCAUUGCCUUUGUGUCCCUUGGGGAAGAAAAGAAAUAAAAACUCGGCAGGCAAAUAUCAGUGUUGAAAAAGCUUGCUCUGCCUUUCCCAAAAACACCAUCUGGAAUAUUUUUUACUUUAAAUGGUUGACUAGUAGACCAAAAUUAUCUAUCGGGGAUGUCUGAAAGACAGUUGUCAUCAUUAUUUCUAUCCAGACCAAAAAAUAAAACCACCCGAAACUGAUCUCAGAACCCAACUGUACUGACCCCUAUUCAGAUAGCACAGAGCUCUUAGCUGGAAGUAUUUACAAAAGUAAGGUUUUGAAGCAGGGGACAGGGCUGCUGUGUUCUGUUCCUGAUGACACCACUGACUGAUUUUACCCACAGACAAGUCCCUUAAUCUCCCUAUGCCUCAUUUAUCCUCUCAAUUUAAUGCCACUCACCUAUUCCACAAGCAUGUAAUAAGACUUCAUUAACUAACGUUUGUAAAGUACUUCAGGAUCCUAAUACAAAAGCUUCUCUAGAAAUUCUGAAUAUUAUUUUAAUUAAGAAGGCAGCAUUUAUAAGUUCCCUACCAUUAAAUUACCAUAUAUAUCUCAAACAGACAGUCCCAUUUCCAAACCAACCUUAAGGUGCGUGAAGACUGAUAUUUUAAACAUACUAUUCAAUAAUAUUUGAACCAAGAAUAUUAUGCAAGAGCACAAAAGUAUCAAGAUUCCUACUUGACUGUUCAUUGACUUUUAGCAUAUAAGCACCCAACAAGUCCAGAUUUAUUUGCAUUUUCUUGAGAAUAGAUUUGGAGUAAAGAUGGGAAAACUCCUAACACCCCAGCCUAGAUGAAAGCUAUCAUGUUUAACUUUUUCUUUUCUGGUAUUCAUGGCCUCAAUAAACUGUAUAAAAAAUUAAAAGGCUACAUACGGCAAAACUGCUUUUUUCUUUCCUGCCCAAAUGUUGAUUUUUUUUCCCCUGAAAACGUACAACACUUCUAAGAGCAAUCAUUCAGCUGCAUCAAAUGUUUAGUCUUCACAGUUGUGCUGAAAGUAGCUCGGGGACCUUUGUAAGGCACAGGGAACUGGGAACAGCAGAAUGCCAGAAAAACAGAUAAUUCAAUAUUUGAUUCCUUCUUCAGUACUACUCCUUGCCAGUCCUUGUCACCAGGCCAGGAAGCUGAAAGUAUACUACUAUACUACCACAUUCACAUGGGGAAAGAAAACUUGCCUCUCCUCUUUUCCUUUGAGUGCAAUUAGCAGACCAAAUCUAAUAAUAACAAAGGCAAGCAGGCACAACAAUACUGGAGGACAGACAACUGGAGGACAGACAAUCGGCACUGGUCUUCCCAUUGCCAAAACUCACUCUAUUGACAUUCUGAUGAGGGACUCUGGAAGAAAGGUCAGGAUGGGAACUAGAUUAUGGAAGACAUAGGAAAGGAGCCCGUUAGUU